Molecule: ribosomal RNA, 632 nt
Filed under: Streptomyces sp. So2Ps_917
Lineage: Bacteria; Bacillati; Actinomycetota; Actinomycetes; Kitasatosporales; Streptomycetaceae
Description: bacterial SSU rRNA
Rfam family: Bacterial small subunit ribosomal RNA
Source: RNAcentral
GCCUGAUGCAGCGACGCCGCGUGAGGGAUGACGGCCUUCGGGUUGUAAACCUCUUUCAGCAGGGAAGAAGCGAAAGUGACGGUACCUGCAGAAGAAGCGCCGGCUAACUACGUGCCAGCAGCCGCGGUAAUACGUAGGGCGCAAGCGUUGUCCGGAAUUAUUGGGCGUAAAGAGCUCGUAGGCGGCUUGUCACGUCGGAUGUGAAAGCCCGAGGCUUAACCUCGGGUCUGCAUUCGAUACGGGCUAGCUAGAGUGUGGUAGGGGAGAUCGGAAUUCCUGGUGUAGCGGUGAAAUGCGCAGAUAUCAGGAGGAACACCGGUGGCGAAGGCGGAUCUCUGGGCCAUUACUGACGCUGAGGAGCGAAAGCGUGGGGAGCGAACAGGAUUAGAUACCCUGGUAGUCCACGCCGUAAACGUUGGGAACUAGGUGUUGGCGACAUUCCACGUCGUCGGUGCCGCAGCUAACGCAUUAAGUUCCCCGCCUGGGGAGUACGGCCGCAAGGCUAAAACUCAAAGGAAUUGACGGGGGCCCGCACAAGCAGCGGAGCAUGUGGCUUAAUUCGACGCAACGCGAAGAACCUUACCAAGGCUUGACAUAUACCGGAAAGCAUUAGAGAUAGUGCCCCCCUUGUG